GGAAGUAAAAGUCGUAAUAAGGUCUCCGUAGGUGAACCUGCGGAGGGAUCAUUACAGAGUUCAUGCCCUACCGGGUAGAUCUCCCACCCUAUGUUAUUAUUACUUUGGUGCUUUGGCGGGCCGUUAGGCUCCGGCCCGACUACCGGCCCCGGCUGGUAAGCGCCCGCCAGAGGACCCAAAACCCUGAAUAUUAGUGUCGUCUGAGUACUAUAUAAUAGUUAAAACUUUCAACAACGGAUCUCUUGGUUCUG
RNAcentral lists this unclassified non-coding RNA (251 nucleotides) under plant metagenome. RNAcentral describes it as "partial contains small subunit ribosomal RNA, internal transcribed spacer 1, and 5.8S ribosomal RNA". The stretch from base 1 to 54 matches the Rfam family "Eukaryotic small subunit ribosomal RNA", at positions 1778 to 1831 of the family's 1831-position model. The record is from RNAcentral.